UGAGGAAUAUUGGUCAAUGGGCGAGAGCCUGAACCAGCCAAGUAGCGUGAAGGAUGAAGGUCCUACGGAUUGUAAACUUCUUUUAUACGGGAAUAAAGUAUCCUACGUGUAGGAUUUUGUAUGUACCGUAUGAAUAAGCAUCGGCUAACUCCGUGCCAGCAGCCGCGGUAAUACGGAGGAUGCGAGCGUUAUCCGGAUUUAUUGGGUUUAAAGGGAGCGCAGACGGGAGAUUAAGUCAGUUGUGAAAGUUUGCGGCUCAACCGUAAAAUUGCAGUUGAUACUGGUUUCCUUGAGUGCAGUUGAGGCAGGCGGAAUUCGUGGUGUAGCGGUGAAAUGCUUAGAUAUCACGAAGAACCCCGAUUGCGAAGGCAGCUUGCUAAACUGUAACUGACGUUCAUGCUCGAAAGUGUGGGUAUCAAACAGGAUUAGAUACCCUGGUAGUCCACACGGUAAACGAUGGAUACUCGCUGUUGGCGAUAUACUGUCAGCGGCCAAGCGAAAGUAUUAAGUAUCCCACCUGGGGAGUACGCCGGCAACGGUGAAACUCAAAGGAAUUGACGGGGGCCCGCACAAGCGGAGGAACAUGUGGUUUAAUUCGAUGAUACGCGAGGAACCUUACCCGGGCUUAAAUUGCAGACGAAUUACGAGGAAACUUGUAAGCCGCAAGGCGUCUGUGAAGGUGCUGCAUGGUUGUCGUCAGCUCGUGCCGUGAGGUGUCGGCUUAAGUGCCAUAACGAGCGCAACCCUCGUGGUCAGUUACUAACAGGUUAAGCUGAGGACUCUGGCCAGACUGCCAUCGUAAGAUGUGAGGAAGGUGGGGAUGACGUCAAAUCAGCACGGCCCUUACGUCCGGGGCUACACACGUGUUACAAUGGGAGGUACAGAAGGCAGCUACCCGGCGACGGGAUGCCAAUCCCCAAAACCUCUCUCAGUUCGGACUGGAGUCUGCAACCCGACUCCACGAAGCUGGAUUCGCUAGUAAUCGCGCAUCAGCCACGGCGCGGUGAAUACGUUCCC
RNAcentral lists this ribosomal RNA (1017 nucleotides) under uncultured bacterium. Its description in RNAcentral is "bacterial SSU rRNA". It matches the Rfam family "Bacterial small subunit ribosomal RNA", at positions 355 to 1375 of the family's 1533-position model. The record is from RNAcentral.